RNAcentral lists this transfer RNA (64 nucleotides) under Rhinophis gunasekarai. RNAcentral describes it as "tRNA-His". The record is from RNAcentral. Lineage: Eukaryota; Metazoa; Chordata; Lepidosauria; Squamata; Uropeltidae.
GUGUACGUAAUUUAAAUAAAAUACCAAGCCGUGACCUUGGACAUAGAGACACCUCUCGCACACC